GCCCAUCUUUGCCGCUCAUAGUUGCGGACUCGCUGUCUAAACCCUAUUGGCAAAUGUCUCUUCUUCAUCCACCACUCUAUGUUCCUCAUUUUCAAGUGCAUUGCUUGCUUCUUUGAAGUUGUAGCGUGCAGAAAUACCUUCGUUUUAGAAACAAAUU
This 157-nucleotide small RNA is filed under the name Arabidopsis thaliana (thale cress). Its description in RNAcentral is "ATSL298440". Lineage: Eukaryota; Viridiplantae; Streptophyta; Magnoliopsida; Brassicales; Brassicaceae. The record is from RNAcentral.